RNAcentral lists this ribosomal RNA (253 nucleotides) under uncultured bacterium. RNAcentral describes it as "partial 16S ribosomal RNA". It matches the Rfam family "Bacterial small subunit ribosomal RNA", at positions 524 to 776 of the family's 1533-position model. The record is from RNAcentral.
UACGUAGGGUGCGAGCGUUGUCCGGAAUUAUUGGGCGUAAAGAGCUUGUAGGCGGUCUGUCGCGUCUGCUGUGAAAAUCUGGGGCUCAACCCCGGACUUGCAGUGGGUACGGGCAGACUAGAGUGUGGUAGGGGAGACUGGAAUUCCUGGUGUAGCGGUGAAAUGCGUAGAUAUCGGGAGGAACACCUGAGGCGAAGGCGGGCUACUGGGCCGAUACUGACGCUGAUGCGCGAAAGCCAGGGGAGCGAACGGG